CCCCCGGCAGCGGUGUCCACCUCCGUCUUCAUCGUGGCGAUCCUCAUCCUGUUGCUGCUCCUGUACCACCGGGACCCCAUGUGCUGCCAGUUCCUCUGCUCCUGCCGCUUGUUCCAGACCCCCAGCCAGUAUGACCGCCCCCCACCCUACUUCAGCAGCAGCCAACGGCUGGUGGGACCCCAGCGUGGAGCCUCCCGGCUGGAGAGCGCUGCCGAGAACCCCGGCAUGCAGGGAGAUGAGCUCUUCUGCGUUGGACCCCCCAGCACCUACCGGCUCCCUUCCUGGGAGCAGCCCCGCCUGCCAAGCUAUGAGAGUGUGCGGAAGAAAGAUCGCCAGCGGGAAAUCCACCAGAUGAUCGCUGAGAGGUUUGGGCUGUGGGCAGAGCCAUCCCAGGAGGUGAGCUCCCCCUCCCUGCCCAGGGGGCUGCAGAGUCCCUGCUCUGGCCCAUAU
RNAcentral lists this long non-coding RNA (450 nucleotides) under Lepidothrix coronata (blue-crowned manakin). Its description in RNAcentral is "lncRNA (ENSLCOG00000002015.1)". Lineage: Eukaryota; Metazoa; Chordata; Aves; Passeriformes; Pipridae. The record is from RNAcentral.